Molecule: long non-coding RNA, 1391 nt
Filed under: Triticum aestivum (bread wheat)
Lineage: Eukaryota; Viridiplantae; Streptophyta; Magnoliopsida; Poales; Poaceae
Description: long non-coding RNA (TAES_LNC019844)
Source: RNAcentral
GUAAUUUGGAACGGAGUACAUGAGAACGUAUCUGGUGAAACGACUGAAUUGGUGCACCAGAUGCACCAGCUAUGUAUGGGCCGCUGGAUUCGAAAGAAAGGGACAUGAUUCAGUGCGAUGAUGGGCCUGAUGGUACAUUUGCAGACCAGUCCUUGCAGCUCAGCUAAAUCCAACGAAUUGGCCUCCCCGUACUCAGAUCGUCUUCCUCCCCUUUGCCAGAUUCUGUACCAGUACAUCCUCCUGGAGCUAGGGUUAAGGUCCAGCGAGCUCAAAGAUGGAUCUCAGGCCGUCUCUCCCUCUUCUGUACCACUCAGGCGAAUUAGGGUUAUUAAAUUUCGACGAUCUCUCUCAACAAUCCGCCGCCGCCGCCGUCAGCACUAUCCAUCGACAGCUGCUCAAGGAUGUAGGUAUGUUCGCUUCUUCCUCUAUCCAUCUUGUUCCAGUUGACUAAAGGGCAUGUUUUUGUUGAUUAAGAAUUGGAAUAGUGUGCUGUGAGCACCAAAUUUAGGUAUGAACUGUGACUAUUUCUACAAUCUGCAUGCCAAUUAGAAGGGAUGUACUCCCUGUUUUCAUCCUUUAUUGAUAAACAAUAUUAAAGAGAACGUGUACUUACAGAGUCUAACUGAAUUUCGUGAAAGCAUUACGAGUUCAUCUUAUUGAUUUUGUUAUCUAGUUCGUCCUUUACUCAUCAUCAAUUUAUCUUUUUAUAGUUACAAAAACAUUUUUAGCUAACUACUGCUGAGCCAAAUCAAAUAUGUAUCACCAAUGGUGCAUCGCUACUUCUCUAGUAGUGAUUGUCCUUUGUAUUCUAAAAAUGUGAUACUUUGGAAUCCAAUGUUAUUUCCACACAUAGAUGCCUAUGAUUGUAGGUUAGGGUGUCACUACUAAGUUUAGCUUGGCUCCCCUGAUGCCACCAUUAUUUUGUUUGAAGGUCAUUAUGGAGUCUCAUUGCCUGGAGCCGGUAAAUCUGUUGAAGAGCCUGAGCUAUGACUGGGUAAUCUUCAGAGGAGUCAUCUUCAUAGGUCUCCAAGAUGGCAUUGAUGAAACUGAUAAUUUCACCUCUAGUACUAGUCUAGAUCGUGUAUGGUUGUCUCAGGCAGUCAGGCUUCAGUUUUUGUAGCACCAUGUAAUCAUCAAGAAUGUACAUUUGCUAGAAAAUCUUGUAUGCAGGUUUUCUGUAGUUUACAUGAGUGGUUGUUGUAUAAUAUGCAGAUGCUUGUGUUGUUCCGAUGUGAAAAACGUGAUGUUCUUGCAUAGAAGCAUCUAAAGAAAAUGUAUUCAGAUAUCCUUUUGUUGUUACCGGUACUGAUUUAGCAGGGCAGCAAUAAAAGUUGAUUGAUAUGAUAAACAAGAAUACAGUAUGAAGUCCCAGGUUGUGCGUAUCUUUCCAC